Saccostrea cuccullata (small rock oyster) is the source of this 1097-nucleotide long non-coding RNA. RefSeq lists it as uncharacterized. The record is from RefSeq and is a predicted model, not a curated record. NCBI's taxonomy places the organism in Eukaryota, Metazoa, Mollusca, Bivalvia, Ostreida, Ostreidae. The transcript is spliced from 3 exons.
UCUGUCAUCUAAUCGUUUUAGGCAUCAAUUAUGUGUGAUUUGAAGAAAAUUGUCCCUCCUGUGAAUGUAAUUUGUUACGUAUAUACUAGUGGCUAUGUUUAAAAUGCAUAAAACAUUAUGAAAACCAUCGGGAUCGAAGUACCACGUGUAAACAUUAUGGCAUCCUGAGACGUUUUGUUUACCGUUUUGUACGUCCCCAGAAAAAGAUUCAAGUGCGUUAAUUGUCAACGAGUCUUCGGAUUAUGGCUCUGAUUUUGAUGAAUAUGAUUCUGACAGCAUUUGAUAGCAAGACGGAUGUAGUUAUAUGAUGAUACCGAAUCAACAAUGUUUGAAUUUGAAAAAGAAACAGAUUAUUCAAAUUCAUUUCCCUGGUUAGGGCUGGGCUUUACAAUGGGAUUUUCAGCUGUGGAGCUAUAAAGAAUUACUACAUAUGGUUUCCAAUGUAGUUUUGUGUACAGAAUCCAGAAAUAAGAAGAGAAAAGACAAUGCAGAUGCAGCAUUAGAAUUACCAACUACUUAUCACUGCUGAGGAAAUGGUACCUGCUUUGAGUACUACUCUUGUGUAUUUGGAGACAGUCCAGUUGUUCUUUAAACCAGAAGUGGAAAUUUCAGUGCUUGUUAAAUUUUCUCCAGAAGUUAUUGGAUGAUACAUUGGAAGAAAAUGGGAUCAUACUGAACAAAAUAGUUUGGACACACCUUAUAGAUUUUGAAAGAUUGAGACCUCAAGAUCAACCCAAAUAAUAUUUAAUAUGUAUCAGGGUUCACUUGCAAGAAUACACAGAAAUUCAGAGUAAAUUUUAAGUGUUUGUUAUCUUAGAGAAGAUCAAAGUUCAAGGUCAGCAGUGCUUUAGUUUUACCAAAUAUAAAACUGUUAUAAAGACUAAUUUUCUGUAUACAGUUAUAGCAAAUAAUUCAGAAUAUGAUUUGGGGAAACCGUGAUUUUUUUCUUUUAAAUCUUACCUUAAUUUAGAACCAUGAUGUAUACUUAAGCAAGUAGAUUUUUUUUCAAGCAUACAAAAUUUCAAGGUCAUUUUAAUUUUGGAAGUGAAUAUAACAUAUCAGGAAGCAGUCAAGCAUUGUAAUUUAUUUGUUGUUGA